This 5119-nucleotide long non-coding RNA is filed under the name Xyrichtys novacula (pearly razorfish). Lineage: Eukaryota; Metazoa; Chordata; Actinopteri; Labriformes; Labridae. The record is from RNAcentral.
UGCAGAAACCCGGCAGAAGGCUGAACAGCAGCACAGAUAAUAUUAUUACAUGGAUUGGACAAGCAGCUUUAAAUCUACGCCUGCUCUUGUAAAGGUCAGAGGCUCGCAGGAAAUCGAUAUUUGGCAGCUACCUCUCAACCCACCGCUCCGGCAGAGCCCAAUCAGCCGAGCAGCCGUCCUGAUGCACCUGAUGGCUCAGGACAGAGAGAGGGUAAGAUCUUCCUGUUUACUCUGUUUUUAUCUGCAGCUGAAAAACAACAGGAUUAUAAAUGAUGGAGGGAGAGGGAGAUGCAUGUGGACACGUUUUACGACUGCGGGACGGAAAGACAAGGAGAGGACGGAAAAAGGAUUACAGUCACCUCUUUUAUUAUCACAAUGAGUGCGAUGUCCUCCAGCCGUCCUCAGCAAGGACCGCCAGUCCAGACCCACUUCAUCAAACACUGGCAACGCUGUUCUUAGCUACCACCACACAACAAAAACGCACAAAGAUCUCAUGUGUUUGAGAUGUUCUCGUAGGCUAAAGCUAGAGAUGAUGAAACCUCUCACUGUUCUCGAAAGAGGAACACAUAAUCUUGAACUUUCACUGGAAAAGAAACAAGAUCUUUUUGUUAUUGUUUGGGACACAGAGGCCCAUUCAUGAUGGCUGCCACUGCAAGAAUUAGAACCAGGGGCGGUGCCAGACUUUUUGAGUGGGGUGCCCAAACUUCUCCAGGGGUGGCCUUGAGUUUCUCUUCACACAUACAUUUAUAUAAAAUACUAUUAUCUAUUCUUUUUGUAUGCAACCAGAAUAAAAGUAUAAGUAUUACUGUUGAUUAAGUUUAACCUACAAGAAACACGACAGAGAGACAUUUGAAAAAUCUGAGAAUCUAUAGCGACUCAAAAAAAAAAGUGUAAAAUUUGUAGGGGAACUCUAAUGUUAGAGUCUGCCUUUGGAUAUCACCACAAACAGCAGAGACAGCGUGCAUCUCAUUAAUAGAAAAUACACACAUAUAACCAACGUCUUGCUAGUUUGUUUGUUGAUUGUUUUGGUACGUAAUGUAAUAAAUAGACCAGAAAACACCCCAAAAGUAAAGAUGAGAUUUUCCACUGGUGUAAAAAGUGACUAGGCAUACUUAUAUUUGUCUGAAAUUAUCAAAUUACAACAAUAAUAUCUCCAAUGUUACUUUUUUUCUUUCAUUAAUACCUGCUAAACUAAUUAAAGUCAUAAGCUGAUGAAAGUGGCAUUACUUCCAACAAUGCUCACAUUUGUUGCUACUGUUGAAAGUUGGAUUCAAAUUCCUGUAUGAAAGACAAAUCUUUUCAGAAGGUACAAAAAAGUUCGUUGUCCACAAUCCUCUUUGUAAGAGUCGCUAAACCAGGAGAGGUGGACUGGAAGUUCCCCUUUGAAGACAAUCAGCAGCAAAAAGUAAGAACUUAAGAAAGCACAGAGAAGUGAGUUUCAUUCGCAAGAAAAUGAAUAAAGACAAUUGAGGUGUAUCAAAAAGUGAAGCAUAGAGGACCUGAUACAGAGCCCUGUGGUACACCCUUUCAGAUUAGACUCUGAGGUUUGUGGUUUCCUCAGAAGGUAAUAACUAGUAGAUCAGUUUCCAGCCUGGACCAGAUUGUUGGCAGCUGUAAAACAUGACUUCCCUCUUGAACUUUAAAAUUUAUGCCUAUUUUAUUUCUUUCCUCACACUGAAAAGCACCAAUUUGUUGCUGUCAUGCAUUUAUUGAAAUAUUAUGUAAUGUUUACAAAGCUCAGCAGUUUGAAAUGAAUUACAAAAGCAACUUAACUGUGCACGUCUAUUCUGGUCCCUUGGUAACGUUGUUGACAACAGAGAAAGAAUCGAGCUCCACUGCCCAACAGGAUACUUCAUUAUCAUAUGAGUGUGUGUUUUCUGGCAAAUAGGUGCACACUUACACGCGCGCACACACACACACACAGAGUCCUCUCCACCGUGCACGUAUCUCUUUAUCCUCGCACAGGCACAGACUGUUCUCACAUGUACCCACACACUCUCCAGUGACUCAUCUAAAAUAACACAAGAGGCAUAUCGAAAUAGACACUAAUACCCGCGUGAAAAUAAACGUUUGGGUCCGGCAGAAAUAAAUACCGGUCAGAGGGCCCGGUCUGUGGGCCGUGAGACUGCAGCGCCUGCAGCCUCUCCUCCAGGUCCUGCUGUUACAACAACAAACCAAACACAUGGGCGACCACAGGGAGCUCAGUAUGAGGGGACUGAGGAGUUUUCUGGAUACCAGUGCUGAUGAAUAUUGUCUGUUCACUUCUAUAUGGUAUUAUACGGCAUGGAUUCUGACUGCCCACAGAGGUCAAAGGUUAACCCCCCUCAGAAAGAGUAAAGUCAAAUGUUAAAAGUCAAAUUAAAUGUUUAUAGAAUAGACUGAAAUUCAUAUUAAAGGGAUAUUCCGGCGUAAAAUUAAGUUAGUAACUUUAGUAACGACCGCAGGAUAACUAUACAGAGAGUCAACAGUACAUAUAGGGUCUUAGCCAUAGCACUAGCCACCAAACAUUUCUUGUUUCACACAACUCACCCUCUCUUCCAGCAGCCGCUUGUUUGCAGCAAGACCCCUGGGCAAGUCCAUCGACUGCAUCGGGGUGAUGCAGCUCAAAGAAGAACAUUUAUGAUUACUACUUCAUGGAAGUGCAAUCAGACCGAGACACUAAGGCAGAUCUACCACGACUGCAGUGCAAAAUGAUUAAUAUGAUGAUUAUUACUUCAAGGAAAUGAUAAAGAAAUGACCAUAAAUGUUCUUCCUUGAGCUGCGUCACCCCACUGUAGUCCGCAAUGGACUGGCCCGAGGUCUCGCUACUACUAAGCGGGUGCUGGAAGAGAGUAGGUGAGUUGUGUUUAGCCUCUUUGCUAAAGAAAUCAGGCAAAGCUAAAAAGAUGUUUGGUGGCUAGUGCUGUGGCUGGGACCCUAUAUGUACUGUUGAUGAAGUUAGAGUUUGAGUAUCGGAAGUCAGUUAGAUGGGUUUUUAUUAAAAGUAAUACUCAAGCAUGUAGAGGACAAGACUAGCAAAGACUCCUUUGUCCACAGGGGGCGCCAAAACUGACCCAGACUAAAAGUUACUCACAAGAGCUUUAAAAAACAAUAUAUAAUAAAGGCGAAAUGCACAAAAACAUAAGUUAAAAAACUUACACAUGUGCAGGACAACAGAGGCAAUAAGAUAAGAUAACUAUGACCGCCAAAGUCCUGCACAGGAGCUUUAAAUCAGUCUGUUUUCAAACAUCACCUGGAGUGAUAUGUCAAUGUUAUGCAACAUUACCUCAAUGUAAUAAUCUGAUUCAUGGCCACUAUCAUUCUGGAGGGUUUUCUGGCUCGGUUGAAGCUCUCAUCACUCCAAACAUGAUAUAACAUCAUGAGUUGUUGUUUAUGAGUCAUUUCUGUUUUUCUGGCACCGACAAAAACCUGAAAAUUCCAAAUCCAACUGGCUGAUUCAGAGUGUUAACGAUGAGGAUGGGAAACGUCUACUCUGACUGCUCACAAACAGGAAAGUAAACAGAUUAUCUGACUUUUUGACUUCUUCCCACGAAUAAUCAGAGCGAGGAAACAUCCACUCUGGUGUUUCAGUGUUUCAGCAUGUGUCGUAUAUGUUCGUAUACUGUACGUACUUUAACACCUAAGUGGCAGCUGAUGUCCUUUGACUCCCAGUGCGAUGAUGCCUGCUGUCGACAUGUGCAGACUUCUAUUAUUGGAAAAACAAGGUCUUGAACAUGACAGCAGAGCACACACAGGAAGAGAGAGGAGUUCCUGAGCACUUAAGGGAUGUGGAAGGAGCUGCAAACUCUGCUGCACUGAUUUCCUACUCGUUAUUUGUCAUUCUCACAUCACCUGACACACAUAUCUUACUAAUUUGGCCACCUUUCAAGCUGCAAGAGUGACAGUUUCUCCUUCUGCUCAGUCAUACCAUUACUAUCCUAAUCUACCUAGCAUCCACCUGCAGGUUUUGUAGAGAUGGAUUUAAAGCAAAUCCGUAAGGAGCGAUGAGGUUGGAGCUGGGGAUGGCUCUGUUCUGAGAGCUCCCUGCCUUUCCACCUGCAUAUGUGGAACACCAAAGCCUGAGGAAGGGAGAGCACACCUCCUCUCCGGAAGGUCAAGCACAUAGACUGUAUAUACCAGGGACAACUUGGUUCUGCCUUCCGUAAUUAUACAAAUGCAUGUGUAGGUAUUAUCGCCCCCUGUGGACAAAGUACUGCGUCUCACAUCAUCCUGAUUUCCGUCUUUUCAUGUGUAAGUUUUUUUUUUUUUUUUAUAAAUAAAUCUCACCCUGCUGUCUUUUAGCUGUCAAACCAACUCAAGCUGUGAAUAUCUGCUGCAAAAAAAUGUCAGAAGGCUGUUUUGAUGGUGCGCACUUAAUCACUCUGACACCUACCGCAGGGAAAGGCAGCAGUUUGCAGCCGUGACAAAUGACAGAAUAAAAAUAUCUAGUAGCCAAUGGUCUCAUUUGCUUUUGUAGGUCAUAAAGAGGCAUCUACUUUAUUUUCAGUCCGUUUCAUAACCACAGAAAAACUACUGUCGUGAUAACAAACACUCGCACUGAGCUGAUCUGGACGUCUAAAUAAAAACACUCUCAUUAUUCAGAUCCACGUGUGGAAGACUCAUGACACAACAAAACAGGCUGGUUGACACUUCAAUGUUACUCUGCUGUGAUUGGGGAUGAGAUGAGGCUUCAUUUAUUUCUCUACUAAUGUUGUUUUUUUCAGUCUCAGCCUCUCUCCUCUUCUCUCUCGUCUCUGUUGUUUUUCCUCCUCAGCAGCAGCAGCAGCAGGUCGGCCGUGUGAUGGACGCUGACGAGCUGCAGUCAGACAUCCGUCUGAGAGGAAACAUCCCGGCAUCUUCUGCAGGGCCUCUAUCUCCCACCCACUGACCGAUCGAUACUGAAGGCAGCUAAAGUUAGCAGGCCUCAGAGCGCUGAGUGUGUACAGUGUGUGUGUGUGUGUGUGUGUGCCGCACUUUUCCUGCUUACUCAGACCUUUAUCACAGCAGACAUCUUGAGCUGUCUCUGCAGAAACACACAGCUGUUAAUAAUCAAAUUACAGAACCAAAGCAGCAUUAACUGUACCACUGACAGCUGUGUUUCUCUGACUCUAAUUAUAGAAAAGUCUUCUGCAGCAGAGAG